GAUGAACGCUGGCGGCGUGCCUAAUACAUGCAAGUAGAACGCUGAAGGAAGGAGCUUGCUCUUUCCGGAUGAGUUGCGAACGGGUGAGUAACGCGUAGGUAACCUGCCUGGUAGCGGGGGAUAACUAUUGGAAACGAUAGCUAAUACCGCAUAACAGUAGAUGUUGCAUGAUAUCUACUUAAAAGGUGCAAAUGCACCACUACCAGAUGGACCUGCGUUGUAUUAGCUAGUUGGUGAGGUAACGGCUCACCAAGGCGACGAUACAUAGCCGACCUGAGAGGGUGAUCGGCCACACUGGGACUGAGACACGGCCCAGACUCCUACGGGAGGCAGCAGUAGGGAAUCUUCGGCAAUGGACGGAAGUCUGACCGAGCAACGCCGCGUGAGUGAAGAAGGUUUUCGGAUCGUAAAGCUCUGUUGUAAGAGAAGAACGAGUGUGAGAGUGGAAAGUUCACACUGUGACGGUAUCUUACCAGAAAGGGACGGCUAACUACGUG
This 497-nucleotide ribosomal RNA is filed under the name uncultured bacterium. RNAcentral describes it as "partial 16S ribosomal RNA". It matches the Rfam family "Bacterial small subunit ribosomal RNA", at positions 28 to 507 of the family's 1533-position model. The record is from RNAcentral.